This 594-nucleotide long non-coding RNA is filed under the name Citrus maxima (pomelo). RNAcentral describes it as "long non-coding RNA (CMAX_LNC001369)". The record is from RNAcentral. Lineage: Eukaryota; Viridiplantae; Streptophyta; Magnoliopsida; Sapindales; Rutaceae.
AUUAAAUAAUUAUACUUCCCCAAAGAUUAAUUUACCCAUAAAGCAUCUUCCAGCCUCCAAUUAACAAAGAGAAUAUCAAUAUAUAUCAUAAAAAUUUCUAUUCUAAAUAUAUUUUGCAAUUUUAUCAUAUUAUAAUUUCUUUGGGACUCGAUUUGACUUACCUCAGGAAUAUCUUUUCAUUUUCUAGCAAUUUGAUCUAAUUUUUCUGUACGAUUAUGAUUUAAAAUUUCUAUUUUAAUCCAUGAUUUUUUCUCGUGAAUCGAACAAAAGCAUAUUCUUUGAAUCCAAUACUAUUGGAAUUGAUUUUAUUUAACUAAAAGGAUACGUAAACGACUAAAAAAUUAUCAGCAAAAUCAAUCAAAACCAUACAUUUUCCUUCUCUUUGAUAAUUAGAUCUAGUUCCUUAUGCCCUCAAGGUCAGAACGGGAAUUUCAUCACAUCAUUAAAAAUUUCUCCUCAAUCAAACAAAAAAGGCAACUUCUUUGAAUCUAAUACUAAUAAUAUUCUGCAAUGGAUCAGCACAAUUCAUUUACUUUUUUGCAACUGCGAAACGCACCGAAUAUAUAUAUAUAUAUAUCCUCAAUACGCACCUCC